This 490-nucleotide ribosomal RNA is filed under the name uncultured bacterium. Its description in RNAcentral is "partial 16S ribosomal RNA". It matches the Rfam family "Bacterial small subunit ribosomal RNA", at positions 30 to 507 of the family's 1533-position model. The record is from RNAcentral.
AUUGAACGCUGGCGGCAGGCCUAACACAUGCAAGUCGAACGGUAACAGGAAGCAGCUUGCUGCUUUGCUGACGAGUGGCGGACGGGUGAGUAAUGUCUGGGAAACUGCCCGAUGGAGGGGGAUAACUACUGGAAACGGUAGCUAAUACCGCAUAACGUCGCAAGACCAAAGAGGGGGACCUUAGGGCCUCUUGCCAUCGGAUGUGCCCAGAUGGGGUUAGCUAGUAGGUGGGGUAACGGCUCACCUAGGCGACGAUCCCUAGCUGGUCUGAGAGGAUGACCAGCCACACUGGAACUGAGACACGGUCCAGACUCCUACGGGAGGCAGCAGUGGGGAAUAUUGCACAAUGGGCGCAAGCCUGAUGCAGCCAUGCCGCGUGUAUGAAGAAGGCCUUCGGGUUGUAAAGUACUUUCAGCGGGGAGGAAGGGAGUAAAGUUAAUACCUUUGCUCAUUGACGUUACCCGCAGAAGAAGCACCGGCUAACUCCGUG